GUCUCCAUAGUUUAACAGGAUAAAACUGCGGCCUCCUAAGCCGCUGAUUCAGGUUCGAGUCCUGAUGGAGACGCCA
RNAcentral lists this transfer RNA (76 nucleotides) under Flavobacteriaceae bacterium. Its description in RNAcentral is "tRNA-Arg". It matches the Rfam family "tRNA". Rfam says of the family: Transfer RNA (tRNA) molecules are approximately 80 nucleotides in length. Their secondary structure includes four short double-helical elements and three loops (D, anti-codon, and T loops). The record is from RNAcentral. Lineage: Bacteria; Pseudomonadati; Bacteroidota; Flavobacteriia; Flavobacteriales; Flavobacteriaceae.